AACAUCUAUACACCGUAAUAGAACAAGGUAUGAGUUACUUGCAAUUUUAUUUUUUAGUUGAAUAUACAAUGACUAUGCGAUUUUAUUCAUUUAUUUAAGAAAAACUUCCCUAAUUACAAUGUAAUUAAUUACACCCAACACUGCUUAAAUACGUUAUUAUUGUAAUAAUAACAAUUACGUUGUUGUUUUUAUUUUCAGAGAAUUUAUGGAUACCAAGCUCAAGCGGAUUAAUUAUAUGAGUCUCCUUUCUGAAAAAGAAUUUAUACUCAGAUACAGAUUAAAUAAAACGUUAGUAAACGAGUUAUUAAUAAAAAUAAUGCCAGACUUGAGCGGAAUGAAGGAUAAGGGAUUGAAAUAAAAAAAAAACAA
RNAcentral lists this unclassified non-coding RNA (369 nucleotides) under Melitaea cinxia (Glanville fritillary). RNAcentral's name for it is "misc RNA ENSMCXG00005001291.1". The record is from RNAcentral. Lineage: Eukaryota; Metazoa; Arthropoda; Insecta; Lepidoptera; Nymphalidae.